This 1635-nucleotide ribosomal RNA is filed under the name Clostridioides difficile. RNAcentral describes it as "bacterial LSU rRNA". It matches the Rfam family "Bacterial large subunit ribosomal RNA", at positions 608 to 2259 of the family's 2925-position model. The record is from RNAcentral. Lineage: Bacteria; Bacillati; Bacillota; Clostridia; Peptostreptococcales; Peptostreptococcaceae.
UUGUAGAACGGGCCAACGAGUUACGUUAAGUAGCAAGGUUAAGCACUUAAGGUGCGGAGCCGUAGCGAAAGCGAGUUUUAACUGAGCGUUCAGUUACUUGACGUAGACCCGAAACCGGGCGACCUACCCAUGAGCAGGAUGAAGCGAAAGUAAAAUUUCGUGGAGGUCCGAACCCACGAGCGUUGAAAAGCUCGGGGAUGACUUGUGGGUAGCGGUGAAAUUCCAAUCGAGCCCGGAGAUAGCUGGUUCUCCCCGAAAUAGCUUUAGGGCUAGCCUCAAGGUGAGAGAUACGGAGGUAGAGCACUGAAUGUCCUAGGGGGUAUUGCACCUACCGAAGACUAUCAAACUCCGAAUGCCGUCAUCUUAUACUUGGGAGUCAGACUGUGGGUGAUAAGAUUCAUAGUCGAAAGGGCAACAGCCCAGAUCGUCAGCUAAGGUCCCUAAAUGUAAGUUAAGUGGUAAAGGAUGUGGGAUUGCACAGACAACCAGGAUGUUGGCUUAGAAGCAGCCACUCAUUCAAAGAGUGCGUAAUAGCUCACUGGUCGAGUGAUCCUGCGCCGAAGAUUUCCGGGGCUAAAACUUACUACCGAAGCUACGGCAUCAGUAAUGAUGGGUAGGGGAGCUUCCCAUACGGGUUGAAGCAUGACCGUAAGGACAUGUGGACAGUAUGGGAGUGAGAAUGUUGGCAUGAGUAGCGAGAUGUGGGUGAGAAUCCCACAGGCCGUAAACCCAAGGUUUCCAGGGGAAGGUUCGUCCGCCCUGGGUUAGUCGGGACCUAAGCUGAGGCCGAAAGGCGUAGGUGAUGGACAACAGGUUGAUAUUCCUGUACUACCGAUAACCGUUUGAGAGAAGGGAUGACACAGUAGGAUAAGCUAAGCACACUGUUGGUUAUGUGUGCCCAAGCAUUGAGGCAGUCAAAGUAGGCAAAUCCGCUUUGAUAAUGCUGGGAUGUGAUGGGGAGCGAAAUUUAGUAGCGAAGUAGCUGAUUUCACACUGUCAAGAAAAGUCUCUAUCGAGGUUAAAGGUACCCGUACCGCAAACCGACACAGGUGGGUGAGGAGAGUAUCCUAAGGCCAGCGAGAGAACUGUUGUUAAGGAACUCGGCAAAAUGACCCCGUAACUUAGGGAUAAGGGGUGCCACCAUCAGGUGGCCGCAGAGAAUAGGCCCAAGCGACUGUUUACCAAAAACAUAGGUUUCUGCUAAGUCGCAAGACGAUGUAUAGGAGCUGACGCCUGCCCGGUGCUGGAAGGUUAAGGGGAUCUGUUAGAGCAAUCGAAGCAGUGAACUUAAGCCCCAGUAAACGGCGGCCGUAACUAUAACGGUCCUAAGGUAGCGAAAUUCCUUGUCGGGUAAGUUCCGACCCGCACGAAAGGCGUAACGAUUUGGGCACUGUCUCAACAACAGACUCGGUGAAAUUGUAAUUCCGGUGAAGAUGCCGGAUACCUGCGACAGGACGGAAAGACCCCAUGGAGCUUUACUGUAGCUUGACAUUGGGUCUUGGUACUACAUGUACAGGAUAGGUGGGAGGCUUUGAAACCAGGACGCCAGUUUUGGCGGAGCCAUCCUUGGGAUACCACCCUUGUAGUACUGGGACUCUAACCAUAGGCCAUGAAUCUGGUCUUGGGACACUGUCA